UCUCCCUCCCUUUCUCUGUCUCUUCGUCUCUCUCGCUGACUUUUUAAAAAUGAGGACCCGUUCCCUGAACGUUCUGGACAGAGCAGACCUUGGUGCUUAAGCCGCGGUUGCAAUAGACAGCCCCAAAGGUAAACGUUUGCUCGAAACCCGCACGCCAGCUCUGCCACCCAGCCCGAUGGUGACUGAUCUUGAAAUCCAGAGACCACUGUCCACUUGCUGUUGUGAAUUUUAUUGGGACAAUAUUCUACAUGGACAUGACUCUUCCUGAGAGAAAAUCUCAAAAGUUAAAUGCAGUGUCAAGGCAGAACAGAGGAAUGAGCUAACUCACCUGAUGAGAAUGUGAUAAGAAGGUGUGCUUCAUAUCCAGAUGAUCUGAGAGCGGGGACCAUCUUCCAAUCCAAUGGACCUGAGUGUUGGAGAAUCCCAUCAGCUUGAUCCAACAGCUCGGAUUCCGGAAUUCAGAAAUGAAGGCUGCCUCAUGCACAUGUAUUAGAAGAACCCAACUAUGGCUCCAGAAACAGCUGCUCCCUGGACUGCAGGAAGAAUUGAAUCCCAGCUCUGGACGGAAGAGUUAUGAGAAGAUUCGAAGGAUCACUCAUCAUCAUCAUCAUCAUCAUCAUCAUCAUCCAGUUGAUCGUCGAAUUUCUCGAGUGGUCUCAGAGUCAUUGGCAGAGGACAGUGGGGCCAUAGUGCACCCAAGGUCCAGAAUCUCCAUCAGAUACAGCUUUGAUGUCUUCAUGGUACACCUUGCUCCAGAGCCAAGGACGAGCAGAUUUUGCCUAACUGAACACUUCUACUGAAGAAGUUCCAGCCCACUGCAUUUCAGUCUGAACUUUUCCAGCACCCAGAUAAAUUGAGCUAUUGGCCAGGAAAGAAGAUCUACUUCCUGCUCAGCCUCCAGUGACCACUCCAAAGUUGCAAGUACCACUUGGAUGCCCCAGAGAUUGUAAACACUAAAUCUAAGCUGCCCAGCCUGCUCCAGGAUUAGCUACUUGACAGUCACCAUGAAGCUAGUAAUUCAGAACUAAUCACAUUACCACAAUGCCAUUUAAUCUGUGCUUGGCAUCUUCAUCUUCAUUAAUAGAGCCAUCAACGUUUCAUCAGGUCUGGCUUGUGUUGAACACACAAAAGAACUAUGUGAAAAUGGGAGUAAUGGCUGGUGCAGAAGAGACAGGCAGAGCUGGAAGCCAACGGAGUGAAAAGCAAAGCAGAACAGAAGCAAUGGUGAUUACAGAGAGAUCAUAUUUCCCUAAUGCCUGCAACCAGCCUUACUCUAGAGCAGACAUCGCUGGAUCCUUCACUUCUGGCAUGAAACCAAGCCUCAACCUUUGCACUGGAUUUCACUGCCAGUCACUGGACCAGCUAGGAUGUGAGAUCCAAGUGAAGACCAUGCCUGAGUUUUGGCUAUCAUCUUCUUUAAAGGAUUAAUGGAUAGCUCUGGAACCAGUUUCUUUUCCAAGAGACCAGCUCUCAGAGCCUUUAAUAUGCUGCUCUACACUGGAAAUUUCCAAGAUUCAUCCUGAAUCCACUUGCCUUUUCCUCUUCAUGGGGCACCCAGGGCUUCAGGGAUCUCAGAAGAGAAAUAUGAAAUCUUUGGAUGUCAAGAAAUAAAAGUUUCCCUUUCCAGAAAGAUACUUUGGGCAUUUAGAAAGACUUUCGGUGGUGAGAAACUGCAGCUGGCUGGAAUUAUGGUACCUCGGAGUGAUAAGGCACCAUGUGAUGUCACAAAAGAGCACUGAAGAGAACUGUGGAGUUAUCAAUGACAACAUUUCUAAUUAUUUUUAGAUGAAGAAAGCAAGAUUCAGGCAAGGUAGAAUCUAAGACUUUUUCUGUUUUUUUUUUCUAGUUGUCUUUUUAUUAAAGUAUGUUGAUCUUUGUCUACAAGCAAGAUUUGAUAUGAGCAUGAUUACAUUGGCAGGAAAGACAGACAGACAUGCGUCCUAUAGUCAUCCUUGAAGUAGAGUGCUUGCACAAUAUUUCCCCAGAAAUAUGCGGCC
Sorex araneus (European shrew) is the source of this 1997-nucleotide long non-coding RNA. RefSeq lists it as uncharacterized. The transcript is spliced from 12 exons. The record is from RefSeq and is a predicted model, not a curated record. Lineage: Eukaryota; Metazoa; Chordata; Mammalia; Eulipotyphla; Soricidae.